GAGUGAGAGUGUGUGCGUUAGGCUAGCCACCUAAGUGUAAGAGUGCUCUGUUGUAAUACUCUUGCUGUUGCAGUAAAGAGAGUAUUUUGUCAAGUGCAGGUCCUCAUAUUAGUAGUAAUAGUCCCACCCACUCUCAAGGCUUACCGUGCACUCCAAACUCCGUGCACUCACCCUUCACCACCUACAGUGGGCUGGAAUGGCGGU
This 204-nucleotide long non-coding RNA is filed under the name Setaria viridis. RNAcentral's name for it is "long non-coding RNA (SVIR_LNC008722)". The record is from RNAcentral. Lineage: Eukaryota; Viridiplantae; Streptophyta; Magnoliopsida; Poales; Poaceae.